UCCUGGUCGGACAUCAGGAGGUUAGUGCAAUGGCAUAAGCCAGCUUGACUGCGAGCGUGACGGCGCGAGCAGGUGCGAAAGCAGGUCAUAGUGAUCCGGUGGUUCUGAAUGGAAGGGCCAUCGCUCAACGGAUAAAAGGUACUCCGGGGAUAACAGGCUGAUACCGCCCAAGAGUUCAUAUCGACGGCGGUGUUUGGCACCUCGAUGUCGGCUCAUCACAUCCUGGGGCUGAAGUAGGUCCCAAGGGUAUGGCUGUUCGCCAUUUAAAGUGGUACGCGAGCUGGGUUUAGAACGUCGUGAGACAGUUCGGUCCCUAUCUGCCGUGGGCGCUGGAGAACUGAGGGGGGCUGCUCCUAGUACGAGAGGACCGGAGUGGACGCAUCACUGGUGUUCGGGUUGUCAUGCCAAUGGCACUGCCCGGUAGCUAAAUGCGGAAGAGAUAAGUGCUGAAAGCAUCUAAGCACGAAACUUGCCCCGAGAUGA
This 483-nucleotide ribosomal RNA is filed under the name Shigella flexneri. RNAcentral's name for it is "partial 23S ribosomal RNA". It matches the Rfam family "Bacterial large subunit ribosomal RNA", at positions 2325 to 2807 of the family's 2925-position model. The record is from RNAcentral. Lineage: Bacteria; Pseudomonadati; Pseudomonadota; Gammaproteobacteria; Enterobacterales; Enterobacteriaceae.